CAGGGGAAACAACCAAAUGAAAAACCAACCCUUACCUCUCUCUCACAGUCUCACUAUCGUCUCCUUCCCCCCUCCUAAGUUUUCGCCUCUCGCUCUCUAGGGUUUACUCUGCACCUCUACCAGCCUCACACAAUUCUUCAACUCCCAUGAUUUCCUAUUCUCCUCGAUUCAGCUCCUCAGAUCGGCUAGGAAAUUGCUUGAAGAGGUGGAAAUUCCUGUAAAAAUUUCUCAUAUUUUCGUUUGCAUUUCUUCCAUUUUUUAUCUGUAAUUUUUUCUGCACCGAAUCUGUAAAUACAUGUAUAUUUAUGUUGUGUAUAUGUAUUAUUAUGAAAGGAAAGGUUUUGCCAUUGAUCAAACCAAUCUCUACCAGAAAUUGGGCCUUCUGACCUUCAUAAACCUCUCCACCAAUUUCUACAACAGGUUUCUUAAUUGCUCUUUUCUUUUUCGAUUAAAUAUUGAAAUUUGGUAUUUGAAUUAGUCAGUGCUUCAAAAUAUGUAUCCUGUGCAUUUUUUAAUGAGAUUUUGAAGAGCAGUAUUUAAAUUACAUUUUACCUCUCAGUUUCAGCGAAAACAUUGUUAGGAAAUUAUAGGCAUAUAAUCCAUUUAUUUAUGAAUUUGCGACUUUUGAUUUGAUAACAAUCUGAAUAACUACUGGGUUUUUUUAAAAUCCUUUUUCUUUGACUUUUAGUCGUAAGAAAUAAUUUGUUUUGGGUAAAUAAUUUCGACGACUAUUUUUCCCAUAUUUAUCAUAACGUAAUAGAGUCUUAUACUUAUGUUUAGCUCUAUAUUCUCCCUGUUUCAAUUCGGUAAAUCUAAUUCGUAAACGAUGAUUUUGUCCGUAUUCUAUGAUUUGUUGGAUCGUUUGUUGUUGAUGCUUAUGUGUGUAUAGAUGUUGAUGCUUAUAAUUAUGGGUACAUGUGCUAGGUAUGAUUUUGAGCAAUUGGUGGUAUGUGACUAUAAUUAAAUAUAUUAAUAUGUCCUCAAGUCGCCUACGGAAGGUCUUAUAUGUUUAAUGGUAAUUUGAUGUACAUGAAUAUAGUUUCAACAUGGAUGGUCACAGAGUUAGGAAUAAGGAACCAAUGUCAUGGAUGAUUCCAUUGAUGAAGAAUAUUCCAUUGAUGAAUUAGCAACAUUUGUCAAUUAAGCAAUUUAUUUAUUUAGUUCCGCAUUUGAUACAGUCGGAGUGGGAACCAACUUUGUUAAAUAAGCAAUUUAUUUAUUUAGUUCUUUUCAUCAACUUGAGUUGUUCUUAACUUGCAAUAGCUGGAAAAUUUGAGGGUGGUGAGUUGGAAUAAUGCUUGCUAAUAUGGUUAAACUUUCUGCACAGGAUUUUGCCAUGUUCUUGCGAUUAUGAGUUGCACCCUUAAUAAAUAUCACAACAAUUUGGUCCAAGAAUGGCGUUAUUUUUUUGGUGAAUUCCUGGAUUUUGUUAUGGUUUUCUGUGAUUUUUCUUUAUUUUUUUUGUUUUUGAUAAAUUAGGCUUAUCUUUAUUUCGAGAUUUAACUCUCUGCCUAUUAUGUUAUUGCAGGAAACCAGUAGCUGUGGAAAUUAAAUGGAACUUAUAAUUUGGGAUUUAGUUGAUUCGGAAAUACGGAAAUUGAAUUGAACUUUGAUUUUUGAGCUUUAGGUCUUUUGCAUGUUUAAAUUUUGAAAAGUAGCUUAUUGUUGUAAGUUAUUCAUUAUAAGAAGAAGAAAAAAUGAUGGUUGUAUGUAUGUGAUUUAUUGGAUUUGUGUUGAUUGAAUCGAUUAGCAGCAACUACAACAAGAAAUUGGUGGAUUGAAUGUGUAAUGGACUGGAUUUUCUGAAUCUUGUGCAAAGAGAGAGAAAAUUAUCGUUUUUGUGGUGUUGGGUCAGGAAUCAAUGUUGUCUGAGAGUGGUGACCAUCAGAUGGUCCCAUUAGCAGUGUUGUUUAAAGCAGGAAUUGGCUAAUGAGAAGCUCGAGAAUCCUGAGAUUUUGCACGGGUAUGAUCAUAUCGCUCUUCUCUUUGUUUAUCAUUCUAUUUUUCAUUGUAGCUUGCUAUUUGUAGUUGUGGACCUUCACUUUUUCCUGGAUUUUAGCAUCUUAUAUCAAGUUAGUCGUGUUCAGACUGGAUGCUAUUAUCAACUGUCUUGAUAUAACAAUAAUUUUAGUAUUGAUGUUGAGGAUUGAGAAGUUUUUUGAAUUAUUCAUUUGUUGCUAAAAGCUCUUAUCAGAUACACUUGGGAACAUUAUUUCAAACCAAAGGCAGUGUCUAGCUUUAACCCCAUAAAGCUGUUUAGUAAGUACCAUCUUCAGAAAAUGGAAAUUCCAAACUUCAUUAUGUUACUUAGACAUGUAAAAGAAUACAAGCUUACUGUGUCCGCAUUCUACUAUUUUCAGCAGCCCUCACUUGGGUAAAGUAUGGACGAGCCUGGGAUACGAUCAAGAGUGCUUUAGAAAUUUUUAUUAAGCCAGAUAAUAGAUAAAAAAUGUGAAUUUAUUCAGCUACAGCAGAAAUGUGAAGAAGAGAUGCUUAACAGUAUUUUAAACAACUGUUUGUAAAAAAUUUUAUCUUCAAGAGUGUAAUGCCAAAACCUAGUGCAAUGUAAGAGUGUAAUGCCAAAACCUAGUGCAAUGUAAGUGUAUAAUCCAUUUUAAUCCAAGAAUGAAAAGCCCAAAGCGGAAAUUUGAAUAAACAACCAAGAGAAAGAGAGACCAAAUGCAAGAUUGGCUUCACUUACUUGAUCUCCGAUUAUUCUUUGAAUAUGAAAUUAUUGGAUGCUAUUAUGAAAAUGCAAUCUUUACUUUUUUGGGCGGCCCUUGAUCCCUGCAUCUGUUUUUUUGUUCUCAGAGAUUCAACUUUGAAUAAUUUGCUGCAAUUUCCAUGUGUUUGAAAAUUCUGAUCCAUGGUUAUCUUCAUCACUAAUUGACUCAACGUUUUAGGUGUGAAUCUGGUGCUCUCUUAAUUAGAAUUUCACGUCGAAUUGCUCAAUACAGCUUUGAUGUUUCUCGUUUCACUUAGUUGUUGGUAGUUCCUUCUUCUUUUUCCUUGAGUUGAACCCAUGAAUAAUCUUUGGCCAUUGUAACAUGUUGCUCCUGAUACAGUGAAAUGCUGAGCUCUCAUGUGAGACAAAUAGAUGAGAUUCUUGCACUUCCUCAUUCAGCUGAUGAUUUCAAGGGUCGGAUAAGAGACAAAAGGAGAUGAAACUUUAUGAUUUGAAGCAUAAGAAGAAACGGAUGUUAUUUUUUUUUAUAUAUGAUACAUGAUUGUGAGUAUAAGACUACAUACAUUGGUGAUGUGCAAUUCAAUAUAGAAGGGAUUGUUUCACAUUUGUACAUACAAAUGUAUUAUUUGCCUCAAAAUGAUUGUAGCCUUUUGAAGUAAUUUGUACGCUUGAAAUUUCAAUUAAGACAAGUUUUACAUUUCACAAACAUAUUUCAUAUUAUUGAAUUUCGACUUAUGUUAGUGGUGGAAAUGAAAAAUAAUUACAAAUGAAAAUG
Molecule: long non-coding RNA, 3461 nt
Filed under: Olea europaea subsp. europaea
Lineage: Eukaryota; Viridiplantae; Streptophyta; Magnoliopsida; Lamiales; Oleaceae
Source: RNAcentral